Molecule: long non-coding RNA, 821 nt
Organism: Suricata suricatta (meerkat)
Lineage: Eukaryota; Metazoa; Chordata; Mammalia; Carnivora; Herpestidae
Exons: 2
Source: RefSeq, a predicted model, not a curated record
CAGACUCCAAACAAAGACAGACAGAGUGAAUACAUGCCAAGUAAGAAAGGUUUUGAGGCUGGAGAAGGAUUUAAUAACCCUGCGGGGUCAAGAGGUGAGAAGUGGCAAUCUAUCUCAUGUGAUGGGGCAGGAGAAGAAGACACAACCCUGAUGAUUCAUCUGGCCACCUCCAACUCAGCAGUGGGGAGGAGGUAAAAGAAGGCCAGAGGCACUUGUUCUUUAUUCCAUUUACCAUUUACUGGACGCCAACUGUGUGCAAGGAACGUUGCCCAGGGAGGAUUCAGAGAUGGCUGGGAGAUGUGAGAGUUUCUGACCAAAGGAGAUCAGACAGAUCUGCAAACAGAUGGAUACCAGAAGAACACACAGGGGCCAAAGUAAGGGAGUUACAAGAGUUCAAAGGACAAGGGAGACACAACUGCCUAGGAAGACAGGUGGAAACAACUUUAGGAACUGGCAUUGUGACCAGAUUCUGAAACACAGGCAAACCAGGAGCUGUGGACAGAGGAAGCAGCAGGCAUUUCUCAUGCCUGUCUGUCAGGGAAGCGGGCCCAUGGCUCAGAAUUAGAAAAGGCCCAUCUUCAUCCAGUCUCCCACUUCACCACCCAGCAUUCAACACCAUGGUGAAGCCAAGAGGCUCGUACUAAGUGGCAGAUGACCCUUUUUUCCCGUGUUCUCUGAUGUCCAGUGUGCCCCAGCACAGACAAGAAUGAAACCCAGACGAUGAUACUGACAGCUUCAAUCUUACCUUUACAGACCGACACGAAAUCAAAUAUACUGUCGGCCCCAAUAAACUCUCUUGUCGAAAGACCUUUUCUCUCUAA